RNAcentral lists this ribosomal RNA (443 nucleotides) under uncultured bacterium. Its description in RNAcentral is "partial 16S ribosomal RNA". It matches the Rfam family "Bacterial small subunit ribosomal RNA", at positions 338 to 795 of the family's 1533-position model. The record is from RNAcentral.
CCUACGGGUGGCUGCAGUGGGGAAUAUUGGGCAAUGGGCGCAAGCCUGACCCAGCAACGCCGCGUGAAGGAAGAAGGCUUUCGGGUUGUAAACUUCUUUUCUCAGGGACGAAGCAAGUGACGGUACCUGACGAAUAAGCCACGGCUAACUACGUGCCAGCAGCCGCGGGAAUACGUAGGCGGCAAGCGUUCUCCGGAUUUACUGGGUGUACAGGGCGUGUAGGCGGGAAAGCAAGUCAGAUGUGAAAACCAUGGGCUCAACCUGUGGCCUGCAUUUGAAACUGUUUUUCUUGAGUACUGGAGAGGCAGACGGAAUGCCUGGUGUAGCGGUGAAAUGCGUAGAUAUUGGGAGGAACACCAGUGGCGAAGGCAGUCUGCUGGACAGCAACUGACGCUGAGGCGCGAAAGCGUGGGGAGCGAACAGGAUUAGAUACCCGAGUAGUC